UCUGCUACAUUAGAGCCUGUGAAGAACCUUCUGGUGUGUUUUCAUAGUGGGUCAGACAGUUUUUCUGGGGAUGCCUGUGAGGUGAAGGUGGCAGCUCCGUCUCACUCUCCAUCAGCCGAAGCUGAGUAUUGGAGGGUCAAAGCCAUGGCUCAGCAGGUCUUUAUGUUAGACACUCAAUGCUCUCCAAAGACACCCAACAACAAAGAAGGCUUUGAGCAUGCUCAGUCCUGUGUGCUCAUCAUUGAGCUGCCAUCU
Long non-coding RNA from Nematolebias whitei (Rio pearlfish), 255 nucleotides. RefSeq lists it as uncharacterized. The transcript has 3 exons. Lineage: Eukaryota; Metazoa; Chordata; Actinopteri; Cyprinodontiformes; Rivulidae. The record is from RefSeq and is a predicted model, not a curated record.